CAAGACAGUGAUAAUCUGUCUCUUUCCCUUUGUUUUUGUGUCUCAUACCCUUGCUUUCUCACUUGAUCUUUCCAAGUCUAUCAGAAUGAAGAGAAUCUCAGAAAUAAAAAGGAUUUUGGAUUUUUUCUUCCCAAGAAAGCUCCGUUUUGGCCAUCUCAUGCAUUUUUCUAGUCAAGAUCGCACAUGCAUUAAUCCCAAGUGGGCAAAGGAUAGAGGAAGAAGGAGAUAAAGUUGGAAGAGGUGAGAAAGGAUCAAGCCAUAGAGGACUGUGGGUGUUCUGCUGAGAAAUC
This 290-nucleotide long non-coding RNA is filed under the name Vulpes vulpes (red fox). RNAcentral describes it as "lncRNA (ENSVVUG00000029153.1)". Lineage: Eukaryota; Metazoa; Chordata; Mammalia; Carnivora; Canidae. The record is from RNAcentral.